RNAcentral lists this ribosomal RNA (743 nucleotides) under Pseudomonas aeruginosa. RNAcentral's name for it is "bacterial SSU rRNA". It matches the Rfam family "Bacterial small subunit ribosomal RNA", at positions 25 to 765 of the family's 1533-position model. The record is from RNAcentral. Lineage: Bacteria; Pseudomonadati; Pseudomonadota; Gammaproteobacteria; Pseudomonadales; Pseudomonadaceae.
CAGAUUGAACGCUGGCGGCAGGCCUAACACAUGCAAGUCGAGCGGAUGAAGGGAGCUUGCUCCUGGAUUCAGCGGCGGACGGGUGAGUAAUGCCUAGGAAUCUGCCUGGUAGUGGGGGAUAACGUCCGGAAACGGGCGCUAAUACCGCAUACGUCCUGAGGGAGAAAGUGGGGGAUCUUCGGACCUCACGCUAUCAGAUGAGCCUAGGUCGGAUUAGCUAGUUGGUGGGGUAAAGGCCUACCAAGGCGACGAUCCGUAACUGGUCUGAGAGGAUGAUCAGUCACACUGGAACUGAGACACGGUCCAGACUCCUACGGGAGGCAGCAGUGGGGAAUAUUGGACAAUGGGCGAAAGCCUGAUCCAGCCAUGCCGCGUGUGUGAAGAAGGUCUUCGGAUUGUAAAGCACUUUAAGUUGGGAGGAAGGGCAGUAAGUUAAUACCUUGCUGUUUUGACGUUACCAACAGAAUAAGCACCGGCUAACUUCGUGCCAGCAGCCGCGGUAAUACGAAGGGUGCAAGCGUUAAUCGGAAUUACUGGGCGUAAAGCGCGCGUAGGUGGUUCAGCAAGUUGGAUGUGAAAUCCCCGGGCUCAACCUGGGAACUGCAUCCAAAACUACUGAGCUAGAGUACGGUAGAGGGUGGUGGAAUUUCCUGUGUAGCGGUGAAAUGCGUAGAUAUAGGAAGGAACACCAGUGGCGAAGGCGACCACCUGGACUGAUACUGACACGAGGUCGAAAGCGACCC